This 633-nucleotide ribosomal RNA is filed under the name Symbiodinium sp. RNAcentral describes it as "eukaryotic LSU rRNA". It matches the Rfam family "Eukaryotic large subunit ribosomal RNA", at positions 43 to 668 of the family's 3401-position model. Lineage: Eukaryota; Dinophyceae; Suessiales; Symbiodiniaceae. The record is from RNAcentral.
UAAGUAAGCGGGGGAAAAGGAACUAAAUAGGAUUCCCUCAGUAAUGGCGAAUGAACAGGGAUGAGCUCAGGCUGGAAACCGAUACAUCUGUGUCGGGCUGUAGCCUGCAGGCAUAGCGCUAUCGGCGGCUCGAGCGCAAGCCUCUUGGAAUAGAGCGUGUGCCCGGGUGAGAAUCCUGCAUUUCGCUCGAUGUCCGCUGUCCACAGUGCUUGUCCUGAGAGUCACGCUCCUCGGAAUUGGAGCGUAAAUCAGGUGGUAAGUUUCAUCCAAAGCUAAAUAGAAGCUCGAGACCAAUAGCAAACAAGUACCAUGAGGGAAAGAUGAAAAGGACUUUGGAAAGAGAGUUAAAAGUGUUUGAAAUUGCUGAGAGCGAAGCGAACGGAGCCACAUGUCGUGCUGAGAUUGCUGUGGGUCUUUGUGAGCCUUGAGCAUGUAAGCGCAAGCUGACUGCUUAUGUGUGAGCAUUUACCCGCAGUGUUUCUCAGCAUGCGAGUCAUUAGCCACAUUUGUUUGAGGAUGGCCUUCAGCUCACAUGGUACACUUGUUAGUGUUCCUCUGUGCGGUGUGGGACUCAGACAGGUGUGGCUUGUUGACCCAGUGGUUUUUUUCGACGCCGUCUUGAAACACGGACCA